GCUGGCGGCAGGCCUAACACAUGCAAGUCGAGCGGGGGAGCAAUCCCUAGCGGCGGACGGGUUAGUAACGCGUGGGAACAUACCCUUUGGUACGGAAUAGCCUCGGGAAACUGAGAGUAAUACCGUAUGUGCCCUUCGGGGGAAAGAUUUAUCGCCAAAGGAUUGGCCCGCGUUGGAUUAGAUAGUUGGUGGGGUAAUGGCCUACCAAGCCUACGAUCCAUAGCUGGUUUGAGAGGAUGAUCAGCAACACUGGGACUGAGACACGGCCCAGACUCCUACGGGAGGCAGCAGUGGAGAAUCUUAGACAAUGGGCGCAAGCCUGAUCUAGCCAUGCCGCGUGAGCGAUGAAGGCCUUAGGGUUGUAAAGCUCUUUCAGAUGGGAAGAUAAUGACGGUACCAUCAGAAGAAGCCCCGGCUAACUCCGUG
This 426-nucleotide ribosomal RNA is filed under the name uncultured bacterium. RNAcentral describes it as "bacterial SSU rRNA". It matches the Rfam family "Bacterial small subunit ribosomal RNA", at positions 35 to 507 of the family's 1533-position model. The record is from RNAcentral.